Molecule: long non-coding RNA, 1094 nt
Organism: Rhagoletis zephyria (snowberry fruit fly)
Lineage: Eukaryota; Metazoa; Arthropoda; Insecta; Diptera; Tephritidae
Source: RefSeq, a predicted model, not a curated record
CUUCGCUAACUGUCAUCAUCGUUGCAGUCGUCGGUAUUGGCAUAGAUACCGCUAAUAUCGCCUACAUCCAUCACGUCCGCGUACCUGUACUUAUCACGCGGCUAGUAGUAGUAGUUUGAUGUUUGGUACAAUCUUUUCCACGGUCCCAAAUAUUUCCUGCUUUUCGUGUGUAUACUUAAUAUAAAUAGAUUCAUACAUAUGGACUUACGUAUAAUAUACGUAUAUACUUGUUAUUCAUUCGCUUUCCUUCGGUGCAGCAUUUUCUUAUCUCUGUUAUUAUUUGACUUUGGCGCAUUCGGGGUAGCCAAUGACGUGGUCAUAGUAAAAACUUUUAAUAUUUCCUCCUCGCUCCCUCCAAAAUCUAGUAAAAUUGCAUUUUUGCAAACUGACAAUCUGAAGUAAAAUUUGUGAAAAUUUUAACCUCUAGCUGGACAGCAAAAACUUUGGGAACGUGAGUAGCAGCAGCCGGCCGCUCCAAAAAAUUCUGGCAACACUGAUAACCACGUCAAGAAAUCGGUUGACUGGCAAACAUUUGGAAAAACUUCUAUUCUUCUGAAGUACAACAAAAGAAAACUUUUUUCGCUAAAAUAUUUUAUUAAUAAACUAGCAGAUCCGGCUUCGUCCCGCCCAAAAUUAAUUUUUUAUUGUAACAUUUGGUCCAAGGUUUUCACCAGCAAUUCACGUUAACGUUUGGUUUUAUGGUCGACAGAAGGGAUAUCCUCUAUUGCCGUCUUAAAUAACUUGGCGAAAGCGUUAUACCGGGAAGAAGUCCUUGCGGCUCGAUGGUGAAUCGUCCCUGAAUCUGUAUACUAUAUGUGGUGGCAAUUUCCAAACUGGUGACAAAAGGGACUCAAAAUGGAGAAAAUUAGCGGCAUCUCAUCACAACAGCGGCAAUUAGAAGUACGCUUUAAUUGUUGAUGCCCAGCUCUCAAAAAUGAUUAAUAUACUUUAAAUAUUAUUUCAUAAGCGUUCCAGCAAAAAUUCAACGAAUCUGUGGAAAUAAUAGAGCGAAUAACCAAAAGAUAUUUGCAUUACGCUGGAGACAGGAUCUCAAAACGGAAUAAAAGAAAUGUUUCACGGUCGUCUGCAUAAAU